RNAcentral lists this unclassified non-coding RNA (233 nucleotides) under Hevea brasiliensis (rubber tree). Lineage: Eukaryota; Viridiplantae; Streptophyta; Magnoliopsida; Malpighiales; Euphorbiaceae. The record is from RNAcentral.
UGCAGAAGGAGCCGUUAAGGCAUGUUGGACAUCCCUCGCAUGGGAUUAUUUUGAGUGCCAAACGUGCGUUUUGUCCAUAUGACGCAUUUCCAGGCUUUUAAGAAGCUGGUUUUUUAAAGCCAGGCAGUCUUAACCCCGUAUACGGAACUUCAGUUUCUCAGGAUUGGCCUCUUUCUUAUCCUAACAACGCCAGGUUACCCCCCCUCACUACCGAUUCCGAAUCUGGUAUCGAG